Molecule: long non-coding RNA, 245 nt
Filed under: Rosa chinensis
Lineage: Eukaryota; Viridiplantae; Streptophyta; Magnoliopsida; Rosales; Rosaceae
Source: RNAcentral
UUUUGGCAGUGAUAAUGAAUUUUACAGCUUUAUGCCAGUUCUGCUUCAGAAAAUUCGUGAUAGAGAGAGCUGUCUUAUACUCUGAGCCUUGGGACUUCAAUAUAAAAGAUUGAAACUUUAGUAGCCUAGUUUUAGAUUUAAAUGAGAUGAAAAUUUUGGCAGUGAUGAUGAAUUUUACAGCUUUAUGCCAGUUCUGCUUCAGAAAAUUCGUGAUAGAGAGAGCUGUCUUAUACUCUGAGCCUUGG